AUGAACGCUGGCGGCGUGCCUAAUACAUGCAAGUCGAGCGAACGGACGAGAAGCUUGCUUUUCUGAUGUUAGCGGCGGACGGGUGAGUAACACGUGGAUAACCUACCUAUAAGACUGGGAUAACUUCGGGAAACCGGAGCUAAUACCGGAUAAUAUUUUGAACCGCAUGGUUCAAAAGUGAAAGACGGUCUUGCUGUCACUUAUAGAUGGAUCCGCGCUGCAUUAGCUAGUUGGUAAGGUAACGGCUUACCAAGGCAACGAUGCAUAGCCGACCUGAGAGGGUGAUCGGCCACACUGGAACUGAGACACGGUCCAGACUCCUACGGGAGGCAGCAGUAGGGAAUCUUCCGCAAUGGGCGAAAGCCUGACGGAGCAACGCCGCGUGAGUGAUGAAGGUCUUCGGAUCGUAAAACUCUGUUAUUAGGGAAGAACGUAUGUGUAAGUAACUGUGCACAUCUUGACGGUACCUAAUCAGAAAGCCACGGCUAACUACGUG
RNAcentral lists this ribosomal RNA (496 nucleotides) under uncultured bacterium. RNAcentral describes it as "partial 16S ribosomal RNA". It matches the Rfam family "Bacterial small subunit ribosomal RNA", at positions 29 to 507 of the family's 1533-position model. The record is from RNAcentral.